UGCACCUAGAUUCUGCUCCUUGGCAAUUUUCAUCACCAACUAAUUUCAUUAGUGAGUGUCUGAGUGGCCUUCCCCCUGUUUAUGUUAGUCAUAUUCCACGGGAAGCUAAGUCUAUCGUCGAUGUGUUGGCCAAGCGGGGUUAAAUCACAGUGAAAAUUUUGUUGCCGUGUUUUGAUUGUCCUUGUGCUACAAUUUUGGUGUUGUUGGUCUGCUG
This 214-nucleotide unclassified non-coding RNA is filed under the name Hevea brasiliensis (rubber tree). The record is from RNAcentral. Lineage: Eukaryota; Viridiplantae; Streptophyta; Magnoliopsida; Malpighiales; Euphorbiaceae.